AGACGUCUACAUUAGAUACCCGUGUAGUCCCAGCCGUAAACUAUGCGCGUUAGGUGUAUCGGUGACCACGAGUUACCGAGGUGCCGAAGGGAAACCGUGAAACGUGCCGCCGUGGGAAGUACGGUCGCAAGGCUGAAACUUAAAGGAAUUGGCGGGGAGCACCACAACGGGUGGAGCCUGCGGUUUAAUUGGACUCAACGCCGGGAAGCUCACCGGAUAAGACAGCGGAAUGAUUGCCGGGCUGAAGACUCUGCAUGACUAGCUG
Molecule: ribosomal RNA, 265 nt
Filed under: uncultured archaeon
Lineage: Archaea
Description: partial 16S ribosomal RNA
Rfam family: Archaeal small subunit ribosomal RNA
Source: RNAcentral